CAGCCGCCGCGGGAAUACGAAGGGUGCAAGCGUUAAUCGGAAUUACUGGGCGUAAAGCGUGCGUAGGCGGUGAGUUAAGUCUGCUGUGAAAGCCCUGGGCUCAACCUGGGAAUUGCAGUGGAUACUGGGUCACUAGAGUGUGGUAGAGGAUAGUGGAAUUUCCGGUGUAGCAGUGAAAUGCGUAGAGAUCGGAAGGAACAUCUGUGGCGAAGGCGACUAUCUGGGCCAACACUGACACUGAGGCACGAAAGCGUGGGGAGCAAACAGGAUUAGAUACCCCCGUAGUCCCUGUCUCUUAUAC
RNAcentral lists this ribosomal RNA (301 nucleotides) under uncultured bacterium. Its description in RNAcentral is "partial 16S ribosomal RNA". It matches the Rfam family "Bacterial small subunit ribosomal RNA", at positions 509 to 807 of the family's 1533-position model. The record is from RNAcentral.